CUUUAUCCCUUACAAUCACAUGCUAUUCCAAGAAGACCAUAGAGAAGGGAGUGCUCUGUGUGGCACUCUCACUAGAGACAAGAAACUCAUUUCCUUAUUUCUGUGUAACGUCUCACUCACAUCUCUUAAGAAGGAGUCAGCCAAGUCAACAAUAUAAUAAAACCCAAUUGGAACUGUGGACCCAGUGCUGCCAGGACUCUCUUUCAGUCUCUUUUGUUUUUAUAUAUUUUUCUGCAUAUGGGCCUCAUCCUCUCUCAUUAAAUGCUACAGGCUCCAUGUGCCAGAUGUUCUCAGCCCAGGUCCUGGAUGUGGCUUCGGUUCUGCCUGUGCUCUCUUGUGAGACUUGGAAGCUAGAAGUGAGUCAGCAAGUCCCGGGGUAAGAAAGAAGAUCAGAAUAAGAAGCAACCAACCACAUCCCUCCUUCCCACUAGAGGCUUCCAGGCAGAAACAGGCUGAUACAGGGAGAGGAGGAGAAGACGCAUGACUAAGUCACAUUUUGAUAUCUGUUUAAUAACAAUUCUAAUCUCAUGUUCUCACUUAUUUGUGAGAUCUAAAAAUCAAACAGUUGAACUCAUGGAGAUAGAGAGUAGAAGAAUGGUUACCAGAGG
This is a long non-coding RNA of Pongo pygmaeus (Bornean orangutan), 608 nucleotides long. RefSeq lists it as uncharacterized. The transcript is spliced from 3 exons. NCBI's taxonomy places the organism in Eukaryota, Metazoa, Chordata, Mammalia, Primates, Hominidae. The record is from RefSeq and is a predicted model, not a curated record.